This 305-nucleotide ribosomal RNA is filed under the name uncultured bacterium. Its description in RNAcentral is "bacterial SSU rRNA". It matches the Rfam family "Bacterial small subunit ribosomal RNA", at positions 338 to 660 of the family's 1533-position model. The record is from RNAcentral.
CCUACGGGGCGCAGCAGUGGGGAAUAUUGCACAAUGGGGGAAACCCUGAUGUAGCAACGCCGCGUGAGUGAAGAAGUAUUUCGGUAUGUAAAGCUCUAUCAGCAGGGAAGAAAAUGACGGUACCUGAGUAAGAAGCCCCGGCUAACUACGUGCCAGCAGCCGCGGUAAUACGUAGGGAGCAAGCGUUAUCCGGAUUUAUUGGGUGUAAAGGGUGCGUAGACGGGUAUAUACGUUAGUUGUGAAAUCCCUCGGCUCAACUGAGGAACUGCAACUAAAACUGUAAAUCUUGAGUGCGGGAGAGGAAA